This 1358-nucleotide long non-coding RNA is filed under the name Helianthus annuus (common sunflower). Lineage: Eukaryota; Viridiplantae; Streptophyta; Magnoliopsida; Asterales; Asteraceae. The record is from RNAcentral.
CCAAGCACGUACACAAGGGCAAACGAUGCAUGUAAAUUAUCAACAUGGGACCAUCAAUACCAAUGACUUCGGGUUGACUGUCCGAGACAGUUCGCGAUACAUGAUUACCACCGUAAUCCAUGCAAGUAAUUGUCCUUAGCAACCCCCGUGUGAACGGGUGCUGAGUCCAAACUAUAGUACUACGUUGCUAAAGCAGGUAGAUAGCACUCCACGUGUAAACAUAAUAAACAGCAAUCAUUUAGACAAGUAAUACAUGCAAAUAGGUUAGCGUUCAAAUAGUUUGUGUUGUUUGUGAAUUUGAUAGAUUACGUAUGUAACACCCAAAAGUGCUGAAAGCAAAAAGGGAUCGAGUAUACUCACAGUGGUUGAUUGUGGAUUGAAGGGAGCACUGGGAAUAGGUUAGCCUGAAUAGUUCGAUAACACAACGAUGAGUAACGCGGAAAAGUAAACAAUGUACUUGGAUCGAGUAGGCCAUUCGAUCGGACAGCAGUUCGAUCGAGUGGGCUGUUCGAUUGGUUUGAAAGUCCGUUCGAACAUCCAUUCGAUCGGCUGGCUGGCUCGAUCGGCUGGUUCCUUCAAGUGGAUUGUUUCUUCCUUUGAUGUGAAGGAUGUGUUUGUGUAUGAUGGUUUGUACUACCUUUCAGGUUGGCCGAUCGAACAGCUGUUCGAUCGGUUAGCCCAACCGAUCGGCUAGCACUUCAUUGUUUUCAAAUAUGUCACUCGAUCGGUUGGUAUGUUCGAUCGGGUGACAUUCCAAUGUUUCGAAAAGUCUAAGUGUUUUGAAGUAUAGUAUCUCAUGAUUCGAGCAGUAAUGAUUACAAUCGAGUGGCGUAGUCGAUCGAACAGUACCUCGUCAAUACUACACUUUUGUGAGUUGGUGGGUCUAAGUGCUAGUCGAUCGGUUAGCCUAGCCGAUCGGCUGGCAUAGUCGUUCGGUUGGGCUGUUCGAUCGAACAGCCUAGCCGUUCGGCCAGCUUCUCGAUUCGGUUAACCUAUCACUUAACACUUGGUUAUUCCCGUUAGUUGUUGAUGUUUUAGAGAUAUUUUGACUACGAGUUGAACCACAAAGCUGCAGUCCCUACUUAGUCUACUGACUCGAGCAGGAAUCACCCAAACUCGGUCAGAGACGGUUUGGAACCCAAGUUUAACGUUUAACCCGGAAUCGGUAUAUCUCUCGGUAGAACCCGAAUCUUGAACCAUGUGUUUGCUUAGAUUGAUUUGUAAAUCGGUUCAAGUCUCGUUUUCACCUUUUUGAGUGUAAAAGAGUUGAAAGAUAGAUGAAAACUCAUCUUCCAAUCCUUUUCCACCGUGAAAUGUUAAGAUCUUUGGAAGAUUUUAGGUUAUCUAUGUGGAAAUCG